CUGCUAGUUGCACUAAAAAUUUUAGUGUAAAAUCAACUUAGUUGAAUAAAAUUCUGGGUAAGAUUAUGAUAAUGACAUUACUUAUCCAUAUGUCUUGACCAAAUUACGUGCCAGCAGUCGCGGUAAUACGUAGAAGACAAGUGUUAUUCAUCUUUAAUAGGUUUAAAGGGUACUUAGACGGUAAAUCAAGCCUUAAUCGGGACAGAUCUGCUAGAGUUUUAUGUGAGAAAGUAUUAAAGUACUGCUGGUGUAGAGAUGAAAUUCUGUCAUACCUUAGAUGGCACAGGUAAUGGCGAAAGCAUCUUUUUAUGUAAAAACUGACGUUGAAGGACGAAGGCUUUGUGUCUCGAACAGGAUUAGAUACCCUAGUAGUCUAAGCAGACAAUGAUGAAUGUCAUAGAUUAGAUUUAAUUUGAUCUAUAAAUGAAAGUGUAAGCAUUCCACCUCAAGAGUAAUUUGGCAACAUUGGAACUGAAAUCAUUAGACCGUUUCUGAAACCAGUAGUGAAGUAUGUUGUUUAAUUUGAUAAUCCGCAAAAAACCUUACCACAUUUUGAAUAGAUAUUUUUUAUCAUACAAGCGUUGCACGGCUGUCUUCAGUUAAUGUCGUGAGACUUUGGUUAGUUCCAUAAAAUUAACGUAAACCCUUACUUUAUUUUUAAAAAAAGUAGUUCACCGCUAGAUUGGAUGUGAUAACAGGGAUCAAGACAAGUCAUCAUGACCUAAAUAUUGUGGGCUAUAGACGUGCCACAUAUGCCUUACAAAGAGAUGCUAAAUUGUGAAAUUAAGCUAAUCUCCUAAAAUUGGAUAUAAAUUUAAUGGAU
RNAcentral lists this ribosomal RNA (823 nucleotides) under Caloplaca soralifera. RNAcentral describes it as "SSU rRNA". It matches the Rfam family "Bacterial small subunit ribosomal RNA", at positions 397 to 1302 of the family's 1533-position model. Lineage: Eukaryota; Fungi; Ascomycota; Lecanoromycetes; Teloschistales; Teloschistaceae. The record is from RNAcentral.